CAACUCGCCUGCAUGAAGUCGGAAUUGCUAGUAAUCGCAGAUCAGCAUGCUGUGGUGAAUACGUUCCCGGGCCUUGUACACACCGCCCGUCACACCAUGGGAGUCGGUAACACCCAAAGUUGGUAGUCUAACCGCAAGGAGGACGCCGCCUAAGGUGGGAUUGAUGACUGGGGUGAAGUCGUAACAAGGUAUC
Molecule: ribosomal RNA, 193 nt
Filed under: uncultured bacterium
Lineage: Bacteria
Description: partial 16S ribosomal RNA
Rfam family: Bacterial small subunit ribosomal RNA
Source: RNAcentral